UGCAUGUGCCUUAAAUUAAUACAUGUAGAUGAUGCAAUUAUAUUCCGUAAUCAAUCUAUAUAGAGGGAAUAUGAUAUUAAAUCAGGACAAUGAAUAUGUCAACAACGAGAGGAAUUUCCACUUUUGUUCCUAUAUGAAUAAGCAGAAUCGUUAUGAAUUUUAAUUGACAGUAACACUUCAAAACGUUUUCAUCGAUAGAGAAUAAAAGGACAGUUAGACUACCCAGAUAUGGCGAGAAGCAAGCGACCAGUCUCCGCUGACAUAUCUGCUAUGAAGACCUUUAAUUCUCCUGGAAAAGUCACGAUUUACCAUUUAGGUCGGCAGAUUUUUAUCUGUGUACCUGAGAAUGCUGAACAGAAAGAGGUCUCCCAGAAAACCCUAGAAGAGGGCCAAGCAGACCAGACAAGGGACAAUGGAGAAUGACAUGUGCAUACUAAUCAAAGUCACAUUAUUCCAAAGUAAUACGACACAUAAAGAACUUGUAUAUCAACAGGGAAUGCUUACUCCUCCAAGACACCUGGUCCAACCUUUGGUGCAUUGUAUGCCCUGGGGUCCGUGCUUGCCCUUAUAAUUCUCUUUAUAGGACUUGCGAGAUUGAUCACUAUUCGUUAUCUUCAAUUGUAUCUGGGUCACAGUAAAUGUGGUCAGAUAUAACCUUACAACCGUUUUAAUGAUUGGAAAGGAAAGUGCAGGACAGUAUCGUAUAUUUUAAACACGUGUGCCAGCACUAAACACGUGUACCAGCACAGGUACCAUCUUGUCUGUUACAAUUACCCGAUUGAACAAGAGAUAUUGACAAUGAAAAAAUAAGUUUUGAAAUGUAUAAACUAUUGAUUGUGGCUGUGUGGUUAGUUUUUGAAACGUAUAAACUAUUGAUUGUAGCUGUGUGGUCAGUUUUUGAAAUGUAUGAAACAACUUAGAUGCAGAACUGUAGCUCUCUGAGAAAAUAUUGGGACAGAUCAGGGCAGUCUGUCCCCGAGGAUACUUGUCGCUCGAUAUAUGUUCCUUCAUGAAUAUAGUUAUGAGAUUGAUCACUGUUCGUUAUUUUCACCUUUUAUCAGAGAGCUAUAGACCCACCCCUUACAAAAAACCUUCGAUUUACGGCGCACAAAAAAUGCGCCCGUUUGAGGCCUCAUAUCGUUAUAUUCUUGUAUCGUCGUCUUAUAAAUUUAAUAUGAAAAAAUCCUAACAUAUUUUCCUACUAUACUUAUGUACAAACAUACCCCAAAUAUUCAUUAAAGCAUGUAGAACGUAGAAAAAUCUGAUAAUUAAUUACGAUGCUAAUAAACUU
Molecule: long non-coding RNA, 1291 nt
Organism: Ostrea edulis (European flat oyster)
Lineage: Eukaryota; Metazoa; Mollusca; Bivalvia; Ostreida; Ostreidae
Exons: 3
Source: RefSeq, a predicted model, not a curated record